Ailuropoda melanoleuca (giant panda) is the source of this 654-nucleotide long non-coding RNA. RefSeq lists it as uncharacterized. The transcript is spliced from 5 exons. The record is from RefSeq and is a predicted model, not a curated record. Lineage: Eukaryota; Metazoa; Chordata; Mammalia; Carnivora; Ursidae.
CUGGAACCAGCGAGAGGACUUGGCCCACACCAGGGAACAGGAGGUUCUCUAUUAAUCACUCCCCAGACUGCGGUUUUCUCUCUCUGUGCCCUUCCUUUCCAGACUGGGCGCUCUGGGGGAGAGGAGCGAUGGCCAUGUGGAAGCCCCAGGACACCGCCUCAUAGUGGAGAGAGGAAGGCUCUAGUGAAGAACCAUGGAGUUAGCAGAGGCCCUGUGAGAAUUUGUCAAUAAGCUUCCCACUGGCAAAGAUCUGAUGCUGUCUAAGAUAUUCUCCCUGCCCCUGGAUACGCAAUCUCUCUAAUGACAUGAGGCUUCUUGAGUUGUACUCUGCUGCAUUUGUCCUAUUAAAGCCACAAGAUGCAUUAACCUGAAGCUGGAAGGCCUUUGGGGGCUCUGACCCUCUUCUUCACCUUAAGAUCUGAAGGGCUCCUUCACUCUUCCCUCAAGUAGCAGGACCAUACAGAUCAAAGUAUGACCUACAGGAGACCAAACACCAAAGAAGUGAGUCUUUGGGAAGAUAGCAAAGAGUUAAAAAGGACCAAGAAGCUGUUGAGAAGGAGAAAGAAAAAGAAGCAAGGAGAAGCCCUAAAUAGAAUGCCUUUUCCAACCUAAGGGAGGGUGACUGUAGCAUGAGUCUUAAGAAUCUAGGACAAU